CACUGGUAAAAAUGUAUUAUGCAUCCACAGGGCUAUAUAUUAAAAUCAGUAUUAAUGUUGGAAAUAUCAUAUCCCUUAGGGACUUUCAUUAUAAUAGAGAAAAAAGGGACAAAAUAUUAAACAACAUAGAUGAGUUUAUUCAAAUCUAAUGGUUACAGGAGUGUUGCUAAGUGUUUAGACAUGUAACUUGCAUUUGAAUCAAUGAACAUUUCUCAGGAAUUGUCUCCAGGGGUUGGAGAAUGGAGUAGUGAGAGGAUGGGUAGCAAAAACAUUUAGUAGUGUCAGUUGGCUUUUGCGAAACUAACUUCUCCCAGAUUUGGGGAAAAGGGAAAUGUUUAAGUAACCUAGGAAGACACACAUGUUUGUAAACCAUGCCAGUAGUUAUGCUAAUUUUUAUUAUUUUAUUUCAGAUGUUACUUUAAGCUUACUCCCUUCAAACGAAACAGGUAACAUCAAGUGAUUUCUAAAUGUAAUAGCUUCUUCUGCAGCCUCUUGAGUUCUUGCUUGUGCGGUCUACUGGGUUACUAAAGAGUUUUCUUUUGCCUCCUUGCCCUUUUUCCUGUGCCUUCAACCAUCGAUUUAUGACCCCUUUGACUUUGACAUUGAACUAUAAUUCUGUCACCACACUCCCAAACUUCCAAACGAUGGCCACAGCACUCCAUUUAAAAUAGCAUGUAUUAUUUUUGUGAUUAUAAUAGUGAUACAUAUUAGCUCAUAAAGAUGGAGAAUAUAGAGAAAUGCAAAGAGGAAAAUACAAAUCAUCUUUAAUGUUACUUUCCUAAGACUAUGACUGUUAACAAUUUGGUCUAUUUCCAUUCAGUAUCAUUUAUACAUAUAUUUAUAUACAUAUACUCUUAUAUCCUUUGCAAAAUAGUCAUAAUUUACAUAGAUUUUUGUAUCUUGCCCUUUUGACUUAAUAUUACGUUAGAAGUAUCUUCCAGUGUCCCUUACUAUUAUGACUUGAUAAUAUUCCAUUUUGUACCAUAUGUUGAACUUUAAAGUUGUUUCUAUCUUUUUAAUAGAAGUUAUUGCAAUGAACAUUCUAGUGCCAACAUCUUUGCAUUCAUUUCUUAUUUCUGUAGGAUACAUUCUAAGGAUUGCAGUAUGCAAGGAUUGCAUUCUAAGGGUCAGCAGUAUGAAUAUUAUAAGACUCUUGAUACUACUGCUUGGUUACCUUCUAGAAAAGUCGUGCCCAGCGACAUUCCUGUCCUCAGUGGAUGAGAAUGUCUGUCACUGUACCUUUGCUGAGACUGUAUCAUAUCUUAUUAAAGCUUUCUCUCAACUCUUAGGUUUUAUUUUUCAUUCAUGAUUAUUAGUGAAGUUAAACAUUUUUACCCCAGAGCACUUUAGUUACCAGAACCAGAAGUUCAUUUCACAGUUGUAUUUUGUUUGCUCUGAAAAGGAAACUAUCAGGGCAAACAAAAUAAUAUAUUUAAAAGAUUCUUUUUUUUUUUUUUUUUUUGAGACGGAGUCUCGCUCUGUCACCCAGGCUGGAGGGCAGUGGCGCCUUCUCGGCUCACUGCAAGCUCCGCCUCAUGGGUUCACGCCAUUCUCCUGCCUCAGCCUCCCGAGGAGCUGGGACUACAGGUGCCCGCCACCACGCCUGGCUAAUUUUUUGUAUUUUUAGUAGAAAUGGAGUUUCACCGUGUUAGCCAGGAUGGUCUCGAUCUCCUGACCUCGUGAUCCGCCCGCCUCAGCCUCCCAAAGUGCUGGGAUUACAGGCGUGAGCCACGGCGCCCGGCCCUAAAAGAUUCUUAAUGACAAUGUGAAAUGCUAUCAGCCUUCAUAAUUACCACCCAUCAUUGCUUAUGGGUCACAUUGAAACCUGACAGUUUCAGAAACCUCAUUUGUGUGUCUUUGUUACUGAUGAGUUUCUGCCAGGAUAACAUCAUCAUUCUUAAGUGUGUCUCCAAUCUCUGAGCUUGGCCUUUUCUUCAGAAUUUGCCCAUCCACCCUAGGUGACAGCUUCGGUGAAAAUCUAUGCCCUGAACACAGCUUCUUUCCAUUGGCCAUUUUUACAGCAAAGAUUUCUGUACCUGGUUCUCCAUUACCUGGGGAAUGAACCAUGGGCUCUGUCCCCAAAAUGUUUGGAAGACAUUUCUAAAGUUUGCUUCUUCAGGGCAUGUUAAUAUUUGCCUGUGAGUCACUCACUUUGAACAGUCCUGGUUCUGCCGUGGGCGUGUUAUGUGAUUGUGUAUAGGUGGAUGAUCUCGACCUCUCUGAGAAUAGCAUUCUCCAUCAAUACAAUGGGGAUAGUAUUAUGUUAACUCCUAAAGAAGAUAGCAAGACACUUGAUUGUAUAAUAGCAAUACUUUACAUCCCAUGUGUACUGUUUCACAUUAAUUUUUAUUCUGAAUUACCUGCUCUUUACAACCUAUCACCUGAAGGUCCCGAUAGUGGCUUAAUUCUACAUAUCUGAAGUGUAAGUCCACAUCAUUUGUCUAGCAGCAGUGUGUGGAAAGUAAAGUAGAAUUACACAGGCAGUGGGGUGUGUAAUGGGUGUGAUCUAACUGUGUAAACAUGGAACUCCAACUCCCAGACUCACCCUGUGCCAAUGCUACGUGAUCCGUGGAUGCGGUUCCUAUUCAUUCUGCUGCUGAGAUGACCGAUAGUGUCUUAAAGGUGUCAACAGUGUGACUUUUUUUUUAGCACUUCACUAAAAUGAUAGUCAUGGCAAAUUGUUUUUAAAAAACAAGCAAUGAUUAUUCUCUAAUAUUUAAGUUGUUUCUUUGCAGAAAAAACUAAAAUCACUAUAGUAAAAACCUUCAAUGCAUCAGGUAUGACUUAUUAUCAAUAUCAAGACUUUCCUUUUUAUAACUAAAGUAAAAUUAAACAAAUGGCUGGUGUUUAUAAUUUCUUUCUCUUUUUUCCAACCUUUUCAAGAUAAACUCUGAUCUUAACGAAUAGAUGUGUAUGCACUGGGUACCUGAAAUUGUACUAGGUGUUUGGGGCUAUAUAAUAAUGAUCAGACACAGAGCCCACCCUCAAGAAUCUUCUAGUCUAUGGGUGGAGACAAGGCAAAAAAAUAGAUAACUAACAUGAACAUGCAUGCAGAUAAAGGCAAUGAUUAUACAAGUAUUACUGACAUGGUUAAGAGGCAUAGGAGUAGAGGGGGAUGCAAUUAAUGAAGAAGUUAGAGGAAUGAACCUCAAAUUUUUUUUCCUGAGACAAGAUCUCACUCAGUGGCCCAGGCUACGGUGCAGUGGCGCAAUCAUAGCUCACUGCAGCCUCAACCUCCUUGGCUCAGGUGAUCCUCCCACCUCAGCCUCCUGAGUAGCUGGGACUGCAGGCUUGUGCCAUCAAGCCCAGCUAAUUUUUGUAUUUUUUGUAGGGACAGGAUUUCGCCACAUUGCCCAGGCUGGUCUCAAACUCGUGGGCUCAAGUGAUCUGCCUGCCUCGGCCUCCCAGAGUGCUAGGAUUACAGGCCUGAGCCACUGCACCUGGCCAAAUUCUUUUUAAAUCAAAGAAAAUGUGUACUUUUAAGUUUCUGAUACAAGACUACACACACAAGACAUGCUUGACAAAGGCUUGAUUUCAAGUAGCAGUUGGCAAACUAUCACCAAUGGGCCAAAUCGGGCUCACUGCCUGUUUUUGUGAAUAAAGUUUUAUUGGAACACUACCAUGCCCCUUUGCUUACAUAUUCUCUAUAGCUAUUUUUCUGCUGCGUAAAACACAAGUGGUUGCAACAGAGACCAUAUGACCCACAAAGCUUAAAUAUUUACUAUCUGACCCUUUAGAAAGUUUUCUCACUCAUGAUUUUAAGGAGUGACCUGUGGCCAUGUACAUAGAGGAGAUUACAGAUGAGAACUCUAGCAGUAGGAAAAACAAAAUUCUCACUAUUAAUGAACAGCAAGAAGACACACAUCACUGGAAACGGAGGUGCAGCUAAAAUUUAGAAAAAGAUGAGAUGAUCGAAUGAAAAGUUUAGUAAGUAAUACAGCAAUGGUUUAAAGGACAUUUACGGCAUAACCACCCAUCAUAGAAUCUAUAAAUUCUAUAUUUGCAUAGUAUAUAUGUUAUAGUGAGUUCUAUCUAUAAGCAAGUAUAUUUGCUUAUAGACAGAAGAAGAAAUGAAAUAUUUCUCUUUUGGUGUGGGUAACACUGCUUUGGAACAAUAUAAAAAUCUACAGAUCUGGUAAUUUGGGGUACCUAAAUUUAAUUUGCUCACAAAAUCAAAACUCGUAGCUAUAGGUGUCUUCGCUAAAGCAUGAUGCCUAUACAUCAAUAAAUUACACUAGCAGAAACCAUCUCACAUGCACUAAUUCAAAUUAUAAUUUUAGUUUAUACCCAAACUAGUUUUCUCGUAGAAAAGAACUAAGGAUUUGUAAUGUGCAAUGGAAAUAAACUUGCAGUUGGGCAUUGCACACAUAAUUCUGACCAAAUAAGACCGAACAAGGAGACAAAAAUAUUUCUUAAUAUAACAGGUUUUUCCCUUGGCAGUUUGUUUAAUACAUUAUCAGCAUUUGCUCCUCCCAUGUACUAUGGAUUUCUUAUGCUUUGCCAAAAGGAUGCAACUAAUAAAAGAAGGCUUUUUAGAGAAGUAAACCUUGAGUUCUUUUCAAAUUGAAGAAGAGAUACAUUUCUCCUCUCACCAAAGGAGAAAGUGUUUCUCAGGUUAAUACAUAUAAAGUUUUGGUUCUGAUGCUCAUUUUAUCUCCCAGUCAUCUCUGUCUCCUUUGUAUGCCUGUGUGGUCUGUUGUCCUGGUCAUCACUCCAUUUUGCCCUCACUAAUAAGUAAAUUAAAAAAUGCUUUUUAUUUACUGGCUAGUAUCAUCCACUAGAUUGUAUGCUCCUUGAGGGCAGGAUCUAUAUCUGGAAACUCCCAAAGCCUGUAGAAUAUGGUUAAUGCCCAGCAAAUAUGUUUUGAAUUUUGUAGUUUUUGCCCAUGAAACAAUAUUAUGACAUUAAUGUUAUUUCAUACAUACAUUUGCAUAAAGAGCUAGGAUUAACAUUAGAGUGUUCAUAGACUCCCCUACCUAGGAAAAGAAGGAGGAUCUAUGAUUAAGGGCCAUUCCAUUUAAAGUCUCUACUUAGUUUGUGUUCAUGGUGCUAUGUUUAUACUGAACAGGAGAGGGAUUAAUUGGGAAGGGGUCAAAAAUUUUAGGGAGGAGUUGAGGAUCAGAUAUUGACAUACUAAAGAUUAGCAAAGAAUUAAGUUCCGUAGCUGACAAAUGACCAACAAAUGAAAACUCAUUUCUUUAGUCUUUGUGGAAUUCAUCCAGCCAAUUAAUUCCAGCUUAUAAUAUUUCUGGUCCACAUUUGAUGCCUACAUUUAUGAAUUCUCUUGACAAUGCAGCACAUAAACACAGGCAUUGACAUGCUUAACCAGCUGGGUUGUGUUUUCUUUGCAGGCGUCAAACCCCAGAGAAAUAUCUGCAAUUUGUCAUCUAUUUGCAAUGACUCAGCAUUUUUUAGAGGUGAGAUCAUGUUUCAAUAUGAUAAAGAAAGCACCGUUCCCCAGAAUCAACAUAUAACGAAUGGCACCUUAACUGGAGUCCUGUCACUAAGUGAAUUAAAACGCUCAGAGCUCAACAAAACCCUGCAAACCCUAAGUGAGACUUACUUUAUAAUGUGUGCUACAGCAGAGACCCAAAGCACAUUAAAUUGUACAUUCACAAUAAAAUUGAAUAAUACAAUGAAUGCAUGUGCUGUAAUAGCUGCUUUGGAAAGAGUAAAGAUUCGACCGAUGGAACACUGCUGCUGUUCUGUCAGGACACCCUGUCCUUCCUCCCCAGAAGAGUUGGAAAAGCUUCAGUGGUAUGUAACAAACAUGCUGACCCUUCUCCUU
Molecule: small RNA, 5788 nt
Filed under: Pongo abelii (Sumatran orangutan)
Lineage: Eukaryota; Metazoa; Chordata; Mammalia; Primates; Hominidae
Description: retained intron
Source: RNAcentral